GUGGGGAAUAUUGGACAAUGGGCGCAAGCCUGAUCCAGCCAUGCCGCGUGGGUGAAGAAGGCCCUAGGGUUGUAAACCCCUUUCAGCGGGGAAGAUAAUGACGGUACCCGCAGAAGAAGCCCCGGCUAACUCCGUGCCAGCAGCCGCGGUAAUACGGAGGGGGCUAGCGUUGUUCGGAAUUACUGGGCGUAAAGCGCGCGUAGGCGGACCUGCAAGUCGGGGGUGAAAGCCCGAGGCUCAACCUCGGAACUGCCUUCGAUACUGCGGGUCUCGAGUCCGGGAGAGGUGAGUGGAAUUCCUAGUGUAGAGGUGAAAUUCGUAGAUAUUAGGAAGAACACCAGUGGCGAAGGCGGCUCACUGGCCCGGUACUGACGCUGAGGCGCGAAAGCGUGGGGAGCAAACAGGAUUAGAUACCCUGGUAGUCCACGCCGUAAACUAUGGGUGCUAGCCGUCGGUCGGCAUGCCGGUCGGUGGCGCAGCCAACGCAUUAAGCACCCCGCCUGGGGAGUACGAUCGCAAGAU
This 522-nucleotide ribosomal RNA is filed under the name uncultured bacterium. RNAcentral describes it as "bacterial SSU rRNA". It matches the Rfam family "Bacterial small subunit ribosomal RNA", at positions 354 to 894 of the family's 1533-position model. The record is from RNAcentral.